This 1125-nucleotide ribosomal RNA is filed under the name Francisella tularensis subsp. novicida FSC159. RNAcentral's name for it is "bacterial SSU rRNA". It matches the Rfam family "Bacterial small subunit ribosomal RNA", at positions 148 to 1271 of the family's 1533-position model. The record is from RNAcentral. Lineage: Bacteria; Pseudomonadati; Pseudomonadota; Gammaproteobacteria; Thiotrichales; Francisellaceae.
AGUUGGAAACGACUGUUAAUACCGCAUAAUAUCUGUGGAUUAAAGGUGGCUUUCGGGCUGUCGCAGAUGGAUGAGCCUGCGUUGGAUUAGCUAGUUGGUGGGGUAAGGGCCCACCAAGGCUACGAUCCAUAGCUGAUUUGAGAGGAUGAUCAGCCACAUUGGGACUGAGACACGGCCCAAACUCCUACGGGAGGCAGCAGUGGGGAAUAUUGGACAAUGGGGGCAACCCUGAUCCAGCAAUGCCAUGUGUGUGAAGAAGGCCCUAGGGUUGUAAAGCACUUUAGUUGGGGAGGAAAGCCUCAAGGUUAAUAGCCUUGGGGGAGGACGUUACCCAAAGAAUAAGCACCGGCUAACUCCGUGCCAGCAGCCGCGGUAAUACGGGGGGUGCAAGCGUUAAUCGGAAUUACUGGGCGUAAAGGGUCUGUAGGUGGUUUGUUAAGUCAGAUGUGAAAGCCCAGGGCUCAACCUUGGAACUGCAUUUGAUACUGGCAAACUAGAGUACGGUAGAGGAAUGGGGAAUUUCUGGUGUAGCGGUGAAAUGCGUAGAGAUCAGAAGGAACACCAAUGGCGAAGGCAACAUUCUGGACCGAUACUGACACUGAGGGACGAAAGCGUGGGGAUCAAACAGGAUUAGAUACCCUGGUAGUCCACGCUGUAAACGAUGAGUACUAGCUGUUGGAGUCGGUGUAAAGGCUCUAGUGGCGCAGCUAACGCGAUAAGUACUCCGCCUGGGGACUACGGCCGCAAGGCUAAAACUCAAAGGAAUUGACGGGGACCCGCACAAGCGGUGGAGCAUGUGGUUUAAUUCGAUGCAACGCGAAGAACCUUACCUGGUCUUGACAUCCUGCGAACUUUCUAGAGAUAGAUUGGUGCCUUCGGGAGCGCAGUGACAGGUGCUGCACGGCUGUCGUCAGCUCGUGUUGUGAAAUGUUGGGUUAAGUCCCGCAACGAGCGCAACCCCUAUUGAUAGUUACCAUCAUUAAGUUGGGUACUCUAUUGAGACUGCCGCUGACAAGGCGGAGGAAGGUGGGGACGACGUCAAGUCAUCAUGGCCCUUACGACCAGGGCUACACACGUGCUACAAUGGGUAUUACAGAGGGCUGCGAAGGUGCGAGCUGGAGCGAA